AAUGAGGCAUUUCUGUACUUUAGCUUUCAGCCAAUGACCAUCUCCUUCCCUGUCUAACACCCCUGAGGGAAGAGACACUCUGUGGACCCCACCGGAUCUGGACUCCACCUUCUCUGAGCUGGUGGACCCCAAGAGGAGAGGCAGAACCCACACUACAAUAAUGACAACUAAUCGGGAGGAGCUGGGUUCAAGCAGCGUGAGCUUUAAGAAAAAAAAAGCAGUCCCUGGGGCUCCUCUGUGAUGGGAAAGAACAAUGAAGGUGAGGAGGCUGGAAUGAGAG
Molecule: long non-coding RNA, 280 nt
Filed under: Rattus norvegicus (Norway rat)
Lineage: Eukaryota; Metazoa; Chordata; Mammalia; Rodentia; Muridae
Description: long non-coding RNA NONRATT033055
Source: RNAcentral